Non-coding RNA from Nicotiana sylvestris (wood tobacco), 47 nucleotides. The record is from Rfam. Lineage: Eukaryota; Viridiplantae; Streptophyta; Magnoliopsida; Solanales; Solanaceae.
CAAUCGGUCCUUUUCAGGACCACAAAAUAAUUAAAAAUAGAGAUUAU